GCCAGGCAUGGUGGUGCAUGCUUGUAGUCCUAGCUACUUGGGAGGCUGAGGCAGGAGGAUCUCUUGAGCCCAGGAGUUUGAGGCUGCAGUGAGCCAUGAUGGUGCUACUGAACUCCAGCCUGGACAAUAGAGUGAGACCCUGUCUCGA
This is an unclassified non-coding RNA of Macaca fascicularis (crab-eating macaque), 148 nucleotides long. It matches the Rfam family "Metazoan signal recognition particle RNA". From Rfam's summary of the family: The signal recognition particle (SRP) is a universally conserved ribonucleoprotein. It is involved in the co-translational targeting of proteins to membranes. The eukaryotic SRP consists of a 300-nucleotide 7S RNA and six proteins: SRPs 72, 68, 54, 19, 14, and 9. The record is from Ensembl. Lineage: Eukaryota; Metazoa; Chordata; Mammalia; Primates; Cercopithecidae.